AGUGGCCUUUGAUGAUGUGAGGGGCGCUUUAUCUUAUCCGGAAACUCCAGGUUUCUUCGAAUCUUAGCCUUCGUCCCCCGCCCCCGCCGAGCUUAGCUUUAAAGAUAGGAAAUGUGGAGAAAAACCCUAAAACUCUCGCCCUUGCCUGGAAAGCAACGUUAAAUCUCUGUCUUGCCUCCCCAGAUGGAGAGGUGAAACUCUAAUAUGGCAAUUUUUUCCUGAAUUUCUGUGCUGUAAACACCGGAAAGAGCUUCACAGCCCAUCUCAACCAAGCUCUGGAUAGUUCUGGUAUCUCCUCCAUCUUCAAACACAACAACAACAAGAACAAGAGUUGCAGAGUAUUGUCGGAGAAUAUGAUGUGAUUAUGAUUAUCUUUUCCUCGCGCUAUAUCUCCUCUGUGUUCUGAGAGCUUUCGUCUUUGCUGGGUUCGCUAAGGAGAAGAUCAAUUUUUCCUGUGUUUUAUGAUGUGGAGGCUUCGCAAUAGGGGCCUUUGAGGGAGCUUUUGUGAAUUGCAGAAAUGAUGCGUUUGAUGAGGAUAUGAUGCAGAGGUGGAGAGAUGAUUUGAAACAAUUUGCUGAUCUUUCCGGUUGGGAUAUGAAGAAUCGCAAGAAUGAAGCAAAUUUGGUUCAGGAACUUGUUAGGCAUGUUUUAAACAAGUUGACGUACACAAAACCAAGGUGUGUCGCUAAUCACCCUAUUGGGCUCGAUUUUCGGAUUGAUGAUGUGAUGAGAGUCUUAGCUAAUGAUGUUUGGAUGAUUGGUAACUAUGGCAUGGGCGGUAUCGGGAAGAAUAUUCUUCAACUAAAUAGAUUUGAUUUUUGUUGCCUGUUGUUUCCUCGCUAAUGUUAAAGAAGCCUCUCGAAAAUGUUAAAGAAGCCUCUCGAAAAUAUGGUGGACUUGUCACCAUGCAAAAGCAACUUCUUAACAGAAACAACUUCUUAAAGAUCUAUUUAAUGAAGAAGAUCUGAAUAUAAUUGAUGUUGAUAAAAACAUCAAUGUUAUAAAGAGUACAAUAAGGUUUUGCUUUUACAAUAAGCAACUUGAACUCUUCAACUCCUCAAUUGGUGGGCAUGAACUCUUCCACUUCAACUAUAACUCUUCAUUUGAUGGCCAUGAACUCUUCAAUUUCAACUCUUCAAUUGGUGUUGUUGAAUCGGCGUGCAUUUGGGAGGGACCGACCCAAUCUAUUAAACUCUUUAACUCCUCAGUUGGUGGGCAUUAACUCUUCAACUUCAACUCUUCAGUUGGUUGUGUUCUUCAACUUCAACUCUUCAGUUGGUGGUGUUCAAUCGGUGUGCAUUUGAGACCAAUCUAUUAACUCUUCAACUCUUCAGUUGGUAUGCAUUUGGGGGACGGACCCAAUCUCUUCAAGAGUAUUCUGUUCAAGCCCAUAUUUGGGAGGGACCGACCCAAUCUCUUCAAGCGUAUUCUCUAGGAAGUACCUCUUGGUGCAUAUUAAGCGCAUCUAGGAAGUACCUCUUGGUGCAUAUUUGGGAGGGACUGAUUCAAUCUAUAACUCAUCAACUUCAACUCUCAGUAGUUGAUGUUAUUCAGUCGGUGUGCAAUUGGGAGGGACCGAACCAAUCUAUUAAACUCUUCAACUCCUCAGGGUAUGCAUUUGGGGGACAGACCCGAUCAACGUAUUCUCUUCAAGCGCAUCUAGGAAGUAACUCUCCAGUUGGUGCAUAUUUGGGAGGGACCGACCCAAUCAUUCCUAAUAACGGGACCAAAGCCCGUUGCCUUACCGCUUGGCCACACCCCAUUUCUAUUUCUAUUUGACGGUAAUAAACACUAAUAUCGGUAUUGGUUGUUUGUCAAUUCCAGCCCAUAUAUAUAUGGAAUAGGUUGUUGCUCGGAUUCAUCACGUGUAGAAUAAAAAUGAAUUCAUUGAUGAUUAUGUAUUAAUUCGAUUACAAUUAAGAUAUUCUAUGAAACUGAGAUUUUGAUUCCUUAGAAUUCUAAUUUAGAAUUAGAAUUGAAUUCAACAAUUGAAGGAUCUUUGAUUUGAUUCAGGUUCAAAGAAGGAUUUUUUAGACUACCUGUAUUAUCUUUAUUUUCUAUUUUCCUUUGUGUCAAAAAAUCAAUAAAAAUGAAAUUAUCUACAAGAAAAAAAUGUGAACUCUUCAACACUCUUCUCUUCAGUUGGUGUGCAUUUGAGAAGGAUCGACCCAAUCUCUUCAAGCAAAUUUGGGACGGACUGACCCAAUCUCUUCAACUCUUUAGUUAGUGUGUAUUUGGGAGGGAUUGACCUCUUCAAACUCUUUGGUGCGCAUUUGGGAGGGACCAACCCACUCAAGAAUAUCAAAAAUUGUUAGGUAAGAAUAUGUGCGGGUCCGAAUGAAUUGUUUAGUACAAGAGAGAAAAACCUGCCCACUGAGAGUUAUCACAGAGAGAGGGUUUCUUCCUUGGUAAAUAUUCAACCCCCUUAUCCUUCAAGAUGCUCUAAUAUGGUCCCCAAACGGUUCGGGCUCCUUCUCAGUCUGCUCCUUUUAUUACUCCCUCCUCCCAAAUCAGGACCCUCACCCCUCCUCAACAAAACUUGGUCUCUUCUUAUCCCCCAUAAGGUUCAAGCUUUCACUUGGAUUCUCCUCCAAGGUAAAACAUUCACCUUGGACCAACUUCAACAUAGAGGUGUUUCUUUCCCCAACUGCUGCAUUCUGUGUUUCCAUGAAGAGGAAACUAUCCCCAACCUCUUCAUCCAUUGCAAGGUCACUGUAGGAUUAUGGUCAUCCCUCCUUAAAUUCUCUGGCAUGUCCCCCCGUUAACCUAUUUAAAUCCCUUCCCCCCUUCUAAAAAAAUGGAAAAAUGGCACCUAUCUGUCCCAGCUCUGCGAUGGAGCUAGUCCCGGCUCUGCUAUGGAGCAUGUGGCUUGAGGGAAAUGCUAGAACUUUCAGAGGAACCCUCAAAACUCAACAAUCUGUUUUUGAAUCUAUCUCUAUCCUAAUCUUCCUUUGGGCGCCAAAACAAUACCAACUUUGCAUUCUAACCCAAUCUCCCACUUUUUGAUAAACGGGGACUACCUCCUUUGGGCCAAAACAAUUCCACUUUUUGAUAAAAGCAGAAAGUAUGGUUCGACGCCUGAAACUACUUUGCGUUGUGAUCCAUUUUUUAAUGGAAGAUUCAAAUCUCUUUCAUCAGAAUUAGUCUGGCUAAAGUGUUGGGGAUAUCCCCUACAAUACCUUACAGAUGGUUGUAGGAUGCAAAGCUUGCUUCCUUGAUUUCUCAUGCGACAACCUUAAAGGGGUGUGAAAAUGGAAUAGGAAAUUUAAAAAUAGUAACUUAUAUAUUUGACAUCAUCUCUUUUCUUUUCUUUUUUUUUUUGCAUAUUGGAACUCAUCACGGCUGUAUCUUCCUUACCAAGCUAUUUUUUUUUGAACAGGUUUUCUCGAACUUGAAGGUUUUGAUCUCAGCUGUUGCCCAAACUUAAAGAGAAUUUCCGACUGUUCUCCAUACCCGAACUUGGAGUAGUUGAAUCUCAGAGAUUGAUGCAAGUUGGUUAUGAUUCCUAACUCAUUCACUGGCCUUCUGGGGAAUUUGGUUUUUCUGAAUGUUGAAGAAUGCUACAUCCUCAAGGAACUGCAAGGCAUCAUUCUCCUAACCUUAUUAAAAAAACAAAAAGAAAAAAAAAGAAUGCAACAUACUCAAUGAACUGCCAAGCAAGGUUUCAGGAUUUCAUCUUCUUCAAAAGCUUAUCGAUUCAAGUUGUUGGGUGCUUAACAAGCUUUUGGAGCAGUUCGGUUUCUUAAGAUCUUUAGUAGAGCUUGAUGUUGCUGUUACUAGCAUAUUACAAUCACCUGAUUCGAUUAGAAAUUUAACUAAAUUGAGAUUUCUUCACUUGAAACAUACUAUGAUGAGAGAACUGCUAGUUUUGCUA
Non-coding RNA from Amborella trichopoda, 3874 nucleotides. Lineage: Eukaryota; Viridiplantae; Streptophyta; Magnoliopsida; Amborellales; Amborellaceae. The record is from RefSeq and is a predicted model, not a curated record.